This 84-nucleotide transfer RNA is filed under the name Fistulina hepatica ATCC 64428. RNAcentral describes it as "tRNA-Leu (CAA) (tRNA-Leu-CAA-1-1)". It matches the Rfam family "tRNA". Rfam says of the family: Transfer RNA (tRNA) molecules are approximately 80 nucleotides in length. Their secondary structure includes four short double-helical elements and three loops (D, anti-codon, and T loops). The record is from RNAcentral. Lineage: Eukaryota; Fungi; Basidiomycota; Agaricomycetes; Agaricales; Fistulinaceae.
GGCGAGAUGUCCGAGUGGUCUAAGGAGUGUGACUCAAGUUCUCAUCAGCGUAUGCUGGCAGGGGUUCGAAUCCCCUUCUCGUCA